AACGAACGCUGGCGGCGUGCUUAACACAUGCAAGUCGAACGGAAAGGCCGUGCUUUUGUGGGGUGCUCGGUUGGCGAACGGGUGAGUAACACGUAAGUAACCUGACCUUGACUUUGGGAUAGCUUCAGGAAACUGGGGCUAAUACCGGAUCGGAUAUCCUGCUGCAUGGUGGGGGUUGGAAAGUUUCGGCGGGUGGGGAUGGACUCGCGGCUUAUUGGCUUGUUGGUUGGGUGGUGGCUCACCAAGGCGAUGAUGGGUAGCCGGCCUGAGAGGGUGAUCGGCCACACUGGAACUGAGACACGGUCUAGGCUCCUACGGGACGCAGCAGUGGGCAAUAUUGGACAAAGGGCGGAAGCCUGAUCCAGCCAUCCCGCGUGGGUGAAGAAGGCCUUCGGGUUGUAAUGCCCUUUUGUUGGGAGAGAAAAGCAGCAGGUUAAUACCCCGCUGUACUGACGGUACUCAAUGAAUAAGCACCGGCUAACUUCGUG
Molecule: ribosomal RNA, 488 nt
Filed under: uncultured bacterium
Lineage: Bacteria
Description: partial 16S ribosomal RNA
Rfam family: Bacterial small subunit ribosomal RNA
Source: RNAcentral